Molecule: long non-coding RNA, 1105 nt
Filed under: Canis lupus dingo (dingo)
Lineage: Eukaryota; Metazoa; Chordata; Mammalia; Carnivora; Canidae
Description: lncRNA (ENSCAFG00020019647.1)
Source: RNAcentral
AGAGAUUAACUGAUAUAUUUGCUCAACAGCAUGCAGCUGUAGUCAUACUCCUUCCAGCAUCUAGUGUCCUACCACAGGAUUUUUCCCACUCCACUGACUGAGAUGGGACUAUUUAUUUAUUUAACCUAGGGGGAAAAAAAAAAAACAUGUAGUAGUUCUGUUAGUUGGCAACAAAUAAAACUUGAGCAUUUUUUUUUUUUGCUAUUCUAUCCUGUAGAAUAUACUAAUAAACGUGGCAAUUUUAAUGAUGUAUAAAUUGUCAUUCCAUGAUCCCUUACACAAAGAAGUUGUAAAUAAAUAAGUUUUGAAUAGGCCAAACACAAUAGAAUUUUAAUUCCAGAAAAAAAAAAAAAAAACAAUCAUUGCUCCAUAUUACGAAAAUGUUUGAAAGGAAUUGUGUUAUAAGAGUAUAUCCAAAGAUCAAAUUCUAUAAAUCAGCUUUUACAGACUUUUUUUUAAGUGUUCUAUUAUUUAUUAAACAGAAAUGAAGUUCUUUGCUUCUUCAUCAAUUCUCACAACUGUCCUGCAUAGGAUUUAUUAUUAAUAUGAUUUUACAUAAGACUACACUAAAUUUAGUUCUCUUUGCAUCCUAUAGCUGGGAAAACAUGACAGUAAAAUUUGUAGCCAAGUCUGUCUGACUCAAAGCCACAUUUUAUUAUUAUUAUUAUUGUUGUUGCUAUUAUUACUGCGUGUGGGUGUUUCCCGAGUAGGCUUCAGAAUGUGGUCAGGUAGAGAACUGAUUAGUAGGACUAAAUUUCAGAAUGCAGAGCACACUUAACAAUCUCUUCCGUUCCAUCAAGAUAUGGAGAAGGACAAACAUUAUAUGGUCUCAUUCAUUUGGGGAAUAUAAAUAAUAGUGAAAGAGAAUAGAGGGGAAGGGAGAAGAAAUGGGUAGGAAAUAUCAGAAAGGGAGACAGAACAUGGAAGACUCCUAACUCUGGGAAAUGAACUAGGGGUGGUGGAAGGGGAGGAGAGCGGGGGGUGGGGGCAACUGGGUGGAGGGCACUGAGGGGGGCACUUGACGGGAUGAGCACUGGGUGUUAUGCUAUAUGUUGGCAAAUUGAACUCCAAUAAAAAAUAAAUUAAAAAGAAAAGAUAUGUGAUC